CCUGGCGGAGGUUACUGCUAUCGAGGUUCGACUAAGCCAUGCGAGUCGAAUGUAGCAAUACAUGGCGUACUGCUCAGUAACACGUGGACAACCUACCCUUAGGCCUGGGAUAACCCCGGGAAACUGGGAAUAAUACCGGAUAUCUCGCGAAUGCUGGAAUGCGUCGCGAUAGAAAGCUCCGGCGCCUAAGGAUGGGUCUGCGGCCUAUCAGGGUAGUAGUGGGUGUAACGUACCUACUAGCCUACGACGGGUACGGGUUGUGAGAGCAAGAGCCCGGAGAUGGAUUCUGAGACACGAAUCCAGGCCCUACGGGGUGCAGCAGGCGCGAAAACUUUACAAUGCCGGCAACGGCGAUAAGGGGACCUCGAGUGCCAGGAUACAAUCCUGGCUGUCGUAAUGCCUAAAAAGCAUUGCAUAGCAAGGGCCGGGCAAGACCGGUGCCAGCCGCCGCGGUAACACCGGCGGCUCGAGUGGUAACCGCUAUUAUUGGGUCUAAAGGGUCUGUAGCCGGCUGACUAAGUCUCUUGGGAAAUCUGGCAGCUUAACUGUCAGGCUUUCAGGGGAUACUGAUCGGCUCGAGACCGGGAGAGGUGAGAGGUACCUCAGGGGUAGGGAUGAAAUCUUGUAAUCCUUGAGGGACCACCAGUGGCGAAGGCGUCUCACCAGAACGGAUCUGACGGCAAGGGACGAAAGCUAGGGGCACGAACCGGAUUAGAUACCCGGGUAGUCCUAGCCGUAAACGAUACUCGCUAGGUGUCGGCCACGGUGCGACCGUGGUCGGUGCCGUAGGGAAGCCGUGAAGCGAGCCACCUGGGAAGUACGGCCGCAAGGCUGAAACUUAAAGGAAUUGGCGGGGGAGCACUACAACGGGUGGAGCUUGCGGUUUAAUUGGAUUCAACGCCGGAAAUCUCACCGGGACCGACAGCGAUAUGAAGGCCAGGCUGAAGACCUUGCCGGAUUAGCUGAGAGGUGGUGCAUGGCCGUCGUCAGUUCGUACUGUGAAGCAUCCUGUUAAGUCAGGCAACGAGCGAGACCCA
This 1037-nucleotide ribosomal RNA is filed under the name uncultured archaeon. RNAcentral describes it as "bacterial SSU rRNA". It matches the Rfam family "Archaeal small subunit ribosomal RNA", at positions 13 to 1054 of the family's 1478-position model. The record is from RNAcentral.